This 465-nucleotide ribosomal RNA is filed under the name uncultured bacterium. RNAcentral describes it as "partial 16S ribosomal RNA". It matches the Rfam family "Bacterial small subunit ribosomal RNA", at positions 338 to 795 of the family's 1533-position model. The record is from RNAcentral.
CCUACGAGUGGCUGCAGUAGGGAAUCUUCCACAAUGGGCGAAAGCCUGAUGGAGCAACGCCGCGUGGGUGAAGAAGGUCUUCGGAUCGUAAAACCCUGUUGUUAGAGAAGAAAGUGCGUGAGAGUAACUGUUCACGUUUCGACGGUAUCUAACCAGAAAGCCACGGCUAACUACGUGCCAGCAGCCGCGGUAAUACGUAGGUGGCAAGCGUUAUCCGGAUUUAUUGGGCGUAAAGGGAACGCAGGCGGUCUUUUAAGUCUGAUGUGAAAGGCUUCGGCUUAACCGGAGUAGUGCAUUGGAAACUGGGAGACUUGAGUGCAGAAGAGGAGAGUGGAAUGCCAUGUGUAGCGGUGAAAUGCGUAGAUAUAUGGAAGAACACCAGUGGCGAAAGCGGCUCUCUGGUCUGUAACUGACGCUGAGGUUCGAAAGCGUGGGUAGCAAACAGGAUUAGAUACCCCAGUAGUC